UGCAUCCACGAAGAUCCUAUUUCCAGAUAAGAUCACAUUCACAAGUCCUGGGAAUUGACUUGAACAUAUCUCUGGGGUCUACAGUUCAACCCCAGGUGUACCGGUGGCUACAACCAAAGGUUUGGCAAGUCUUUCUCAGGGCCUGGAAUGAAUUCAGGUGCACUUGUCUAUUUAUUUAUUUGGAGGUGGUGGGGUUGGGGGGACGGUCUCACGCUGUCGCCCAGGUGGAAGUGCAGUGGUGCAAUCACAGCUCACUGUAGCCUUAAGCACAUCCAGGAACUUCUUACUAUUCACUCACCAAACCCUGCAGGAGGGUCAGGAAGGUGGCCUGGAGGAGGGGGCCCUUAGGAGGAGACUUGGGAGGUAAGUAGGAUUCUGCCUCUGACUCCAGGAAGAGAGAGAGAGCCCUAGGUCAAAGCUCCACCAAGCCCCGAUUGCAGAGGUUACUGCAUGAGCAGGCACCCCAGGGUUGGGUGACAGUCACAGAGGGAGAGGUCAGCUUGCAUCAGGGUCAGGCCAUGCGGGCCUCGGAGCGGGAACUACAGAUUUAUCCUGAGGGCACUGGGGAGCCAUGGGAGGGGCUGGUAGGGAGGGGACUGAGUGGGUUUACUCUUUGGAAAGAUCCCUGGGGUCACUGUGAUGAGAGCAGGUCUGGCAGCAGGAAGAGCAGGUGAGGAGGCAACCACCGCCCUGUGGUGGUGGCAGAUGAGGCGGGGUGCUGUUGGCGACUCAUGGAUGAGCAGACUGAGGGCCUGGAGUUUUCACCAAGUGAGGGAAAUAAGGACCCAGGGAAGCAAAGAGCAAACACUCAGGCAAAUAAGAAUGACGACGACGGUAACAGAAACACUUCAUUCCAGUUCACUACCGGGUUUGCACAGAUUAUUUAAUUUAAUCCUCACCACAGCCUGAGGCUAUAUGGGUAUAAGAGAAGGUCCUAUAAGAGAGGUUAGGGACUCUAGAGUCAAACUUCCUGGGUUCAGUCUCUGCUCCAUUGCCUACCUGCUGUGUGACCUAGAGCAAGUUGUUCAACCUCUCUGAGUGUCCAUUUUCUUAUCUGACAAGCAGCCCCUCCUUCCUGGGGUUGUUGUACAGAUUCAGUGAGUAAAUACUUGUAAAUUGGCCAGGCUCGGUGGCUCACACCUGUAAUCCUAGCACUUGGGGAAGUGGGGGGGGGGGAUCACCUGAGGUCGGGAGUUCAAGACCAGCCUGACCAACAUGGAGAAACCCCAUCUCCACUAAAAAUACCAAAUUAGCUGGGCGUGGUGGCACAUGCCUGUAAUCUCAGCUGUUCAGGAGGCUGAGGCAGGAGAAUCGCUUGAACCCCGGAGGCGGAGGUUGCAGUGAGCUGAGAUUGUGCCAUUGCACUCCAGCCUGGGCAACAAGAGAGAAACUCCGUC
This 1397-nucleotide long non-coding RNA is filed under the name Macaca fascicularis (crab-eating macaque). RNAcentral describes it as "lncRNA (ENSMFAG00000059529.1)". The record is from RNAcentral. Lineage: Eukaryota; Metazoa; Chordata; Mammalia; Primates; Cercopithecidae.